RNAcentral lists this ribosomal RNA (445 nucleotides) under uncultured bacterium. RNAcentral's name for it is "partial 16S ribosomal RNA". It matches the Rfam family "Bacterial small subunit ribosomal RNA", at positions 354 to 796 of the family's 1533-position model. The record is from RNAcentral.
GUGAGGAAUAUUGGUCAAUGGACGGAAGUCUGAACCAGCCAUGCCGCGUGAAGGAUGAAGGCGUUCUGCGUUGUAAACUUCUUUUAUCAGAGAAGAAACCACUGAUUUCUAUUAGUGUUGACGGUAUCUGAUGAAUAAGCACCGGCUAACUCCGUGCCAGCAGCCGCGGUAAUACGGAGGGUGCAAGCGUUAUCCGGAUUUACUGGGUUUAAAGGGUGUGUAGGCGGGCUAUUAAGUCAGGGGUGAAAUCCCGGGGCUCAACCUCGGAACUGCCUUUGAUACUAUUAGUCUUGAAUUAUGUUGAGGUUGGCGGAAUAUAACAUGUAGCGGUGAAAUGCAUAGAUAUGUUAUAGAACACCGAUUGCGAAGGCAGCUGGCUAAACAUAUAUUGACGCUGAGGCACGAAAGCGUGGGUAGCGAACAGGAUUAGAAACCCCAGUAGUCC